RNAcentral lists this ribosomal RNA (500 nucleotides) under uncultured Glomeromycotina. RNAcentral's name for it is "partial small subunit ribosomal RNA". It matches the Rfam family "Eukaryotic small subunit ribosomal RNA", at positions 591 to 1092 of the family's 1831-position model. The record is from RNAcentral. Lineage: Eukaryota; Fungi; Glomeromycota.
CCAAUAGCGUAUAUUAAAGUUGUUGCAGUUAAAAAGCUCGUAGUUGAAUUUCGGGGUCAGUAGGUUGGUCGUGCCACUGGUAUGUACUGGCUUCACUGAUUCCUCCCUCUUGUAGAACCGUAAUGCCAUUAAGUUGGUGUUGCGGGGAAACAGGACUGUUACUUUGAAAAAAUUAGAGUGUUUAAAGCAGGCUAACGCUUGAAUACAUUAGCAUGGAAUAAUGAAAUAGGACGUUUGAUCCUAUUUUGUUGGUUUCUAGGAUUGACGUAAUGAUUAAUAGGGAUAGUUGGGGGCAUUAGUAUUCAAUUGUCAGAGGUGAAAUUCUUGGAUUUAUUGAAGACUAACUACUGCGAAAGCAUUUGCCAAGGAUGUUUUCAUUAAUCAAGAACGAAAGUUAGGGGAUCGAAGACGAUCAGAUACCGUCGUAGUCUUAACCAUAAACUAUGCCGACUAGGGAUCGGAUGAUGUUAAUUUUUUAAUGACUCAUUCGGCGCCUUACG